Molecule: ribosomal RNA, 448 nt
Filed under: uncultured bacterium
Lineage: Bacteria
Description: SSU rRNA
Rfam family: Bacterial small subunit ribosomal RNA
Source: RNAcentral
AGAGCGAACGCUGGCGGCAGGCCUAACACAUGCAAGUCGAGCGCCCGUAGCAAUACGGGAGCGGCAGACGGGAUAGUAACACGUGGGAACGCGCCCUUCGGUUCGGAAUAACUCAGGGAAACUUGAGCUAAUACCGGAUACGCCCUUACGGGGAAAGAUUUAUUGCCGAAGGAACGGCCCGCGUCCGAUUAGCUAGUUGGUGAGGUAAUGGCUCACCAAGGCGACGAUCGGUAGCUGGUCUGAGAGGAUGACCAGCAUCACUGGGACUGAGACACGGCCCAGACUCCUACGGGAGGCAGCAGUGGGGAAUAUUGGACAAUGGGCGCAAGCCUGAUCCAGCCAUGCCGCGGGGAUGAUGAAGGCCUUAGGGUUGUAAAGUCCUUUUAACGGGGAAGAUAAUGACGGUACCCGUAGAAUAAGCCCCGGCUAACUUCGUGCCAGCAGCCGC